AUUGAACGCUAGCGGGAUGCCUUACACAUGCAAGUCGAACGGGGUGGCGAACGGGUGAGUAAGGUAUCGGAACGUGCCCAGUAGUGGGGGAUAACUACGCGAAAGCGUAGCUAAUACGGCAUACUAUUGGAGGGGCCGAUGUCGGAUUGGCUAGUUGGUGGGGUAAUGGCGUACCAAGGCGACGAUCCGUAGCUGGUUGGAGAGGACGACCAGCCGCACGGGGACUGAGACACGGCCCAGACUCCUACGGGAGGCAGCAGUGGGGAAUUUUGGACAAUGGGGGAAAGCCUGAUCCAGCCAUCCCGCGUGUGCGAUGAAGGCCUUCGGGUUGUAAAGCACUUUUGGCAGGAAAGCGGUACCUGCAGAAUAAGCACCGGCUAACUACGUGCCAGCAGCCGCGGUAAUAC
Molecule: ribosomal RNA, 407 nt
Filed under: uncultured bacterium
Lineage: Bacteria
Description: partial 16S ribosomal RNA
Rfam family: Bacterial small subunit ribosomal RNA
Source: RNAcentral